AGGUUCCCAUGUCACAGGAGG
Molecule: unclassified non-coding RNA, 21 nt
Filed under: Chlamydomonas reinhardtii
Lineage: Eukaryota; Viridiplantae; Chlorophyta; Chlorophyceae; Chlamydomonadales; Chlamydomonadaceae
Description: small RNA Cre_0605
Source: RNAcentral